Molecule: ribosomal RNA, 459 nt
Filed under: uncultured bacterium
Lineage: Bacteria
Description: bacterial SSU rRNA
Rfam family: Bacterial small subunit ribosomal RNA
Source: RNAcentral
UACGGGAGGCAGCAGUGGGGAAUAUUGCACAAUGGGCGAAAGCCUGAUGCAGCUAUGCCGCGUGUAUGAAGAAGGCCUUAGGGUUGUAAAGUACUUUCAUCGGGGAGGAAAAAACAAAACUAAUAAUUUUAUUUCUUGACGUUACCCGAAAAAGAAGCACCGGCUAACUCCGUGCCAGCAGCCGCGGUAAUACGGAGGGUGCUAGCGUUAAUCAGAAUUACUGGGCGUAAAGAGCACGUAGGUGGUUUUUUUAAAGUCAGAUGUGAAAUCCCUGGGCUUUAACCUAGGAACUGCAUUUUGAAACUGAAAUACUAGAGUAUCGUAGAGGGAGGUAGAAUUCUAGGUGUAGCGGUGAAAUGCGUAGAUAUCUGGAGGAAUACCUGUGGCGAAAGCGGCCUCCUAAACGAAUACUGACACUGAGGUGCGAAAGCGUGGGGAGCAAACAGGGAUUUAGAUACC